GGAUAUGAAGACUUGAACAUCACAUAAUAAUAAAAUCAUAUCACACAAACAAACUAAUAUAAACUAAAGUGAUUUAAUUAUCAAUACGCAUUUCAUGAUUAUUUAUCAAUUAAAAUACAUGAGCGUCAAUCACAGUUUGUCUUUUCAUACCCAGAACAAGUGUUUUUCUCCUUAUGCACAUACAUAAUCCUUUUUGGAAAAAUCAUAAAACUCUCCGUGAUCUGAUUUAUUUUUGCCACUGUUUGCGACAUUUCCGUCUCAUUCCAAGUCAUGCAACCCUGAACAACACCUAUGACCCAUAUAUACACAAUAUAAGGAUUCUGUAUAUGCUUUUAUUGAUUUAUAUUUGUAGCUAUAAAUAUAUAUACAGAGAGAUGUCUUACUUGAUGUAACGAUGAGAAUGAAGAGCACCACAAUUUUCUCCAUUCUGCACAACCAAAAAUUAUUAUAUGUGAAAUUGGCUGUGUCAAUAUAUAUGCACACUCAAUCAGAGGGUAUUAGGAAAGAAAUAAAUAUUAUAUUUGCAGAGAUUGAGCUAAUCAUAUUUGGAAAAUGCUAGGUAUUCCAGAAAGUUAAACUGAUCCCAUGAAAUGUUACAUCUUUCUAAUGGACACAAAUCAGUUGCUCUAAGUUAGGCACCUGAGUGCUUUGCAUUCACUUGGGCAACCAUCAUACAUCUGCUAUGAUUCAAAAAUGUCGACUUCUUUUGUUUUCUCCUCCUUCCUUGUUAGAAUGAAUUUUCCUCUAAUUUGGUGUUUGAUAUUCCUCAAAACAGUGAGCAGACAACAUUAGUUGCAACAUUGAAUGGUACCAUUCAUUUAGUGGAUCCCAAGUCUAAAAAAGUUCUAUGUUCUCAGGCAACAGGGGGCUACUUUAACUUCAUAUCACACCCCCUGUCGAGUGUCGAACAUAACGAAUCUGGACCUUGACCUCUUUACUAGAUGGAUUGUGGAGAUGACUGGAUGUUGUAUGCGCACACUAAGCUUGGCAAAAUGGUGUGUCCUUUACUCUUACUUCUGCCGCUCAACUGCAUUUCCUUUAUUCUGGAUCAGACCCCAGUACAGAACCUCAACAUUUUAAACCCGUAAACCUAUCACAGCAUCAACUAUGCACCAUUCAUGUGAUUAUUACUUUGUUUGAAUUCAUAUUUCCCCUCUAGUCUCAUCUAACUAUCUAAGUUUGUGCAGAACCAACUAAAACCAGUUUCAAGAGCUACACUCUGAUUAGAUUAGAUAUGUGGCCCGAGUUGUAGCAGUUUAUCAUUAGCCAAAGACCCAAUCCAACAUUAGCUUAUAAUCAUCUCAUUGCACACAGUGCACUAUGCGGAAGGAAUAUAAUUAACUAGAUGCAAAUAAUCAAGAAAGUGUUUAUAUGUAAAACUUUGAUUAGGCGUGCUUUUCAACAUAUACUCUACAACCCAUUAGACCUGUAAAAUUUACGCCAGGCACAGUGAUCAUUUUGUAUUUGAACAGGGGAGAAAACAUGGGAACCACGAGAACCGACAUUAAAUCAAUCAAACCAAUAUAACACUUGAUAACUCCAGAUCCCGUUCCGGUGGCUCCUCCGCCGUGCACUGGUGUCUUGCGGUGUAGCUGCUGGAUGGGUGUCUGCAAAACAACACCGGAGGGGGGUUUGGGCCCCGCGGUGUGGUGGGUGAAGGUGUAUGUGUGGUGGUUGCUGGUGGCUGGUGGCUGAGAGUGUUUGAAUAUAUGCUGAAUGUAAAUGUGUGUGAGAAUGAGUGUAAAAAGAGAGUUACCCUUGAACUCCUGAUCUUGGUCCUAUUUAUAGGCCAAGGAUUAGGGUUCAAGGGUGCGUACCUGGAUCCUGGUCCUACACGUGUAGGGGUUUGAUCCCCUACACGUGUCCAGGUGUCAGCGUAGGAGUAGUAUUUUGGAAUGUUCCUUGGCUUGUCUCUAUCGCCAGUAGUUGACCGUUAUGUUUGUCUUUAUCGUGUCAGUCUGCGCCUUGUGCAGCAAGUGUCGGCUGAUACCUAUGUGAACCCUGGUCGAGGAGGGUGCUCGGGUAAUGCCCGGGUUCGGGAUCCUACCCGGGUGGUGUAUCCGGGUUAGGGUUGAUAGGUUGUGCUUUCCGGGGACCAUGGUCCUCAUGUGGGCCCGAGUUUGGACAACCCGGGUAACUCCACAUCAUUUGCCCCCCACUCCCUUAUAUAGAUUCUCUAUGUGAGGGAGUAGAGUGGAGUUUUUGCUUUGUUUCCCCGAUCGAGUGGACCCGGAUAAGGGUGGAGGUUUAUUCUUGCCCCCCGGCCUUGAUUGAUCCGGGUAGAUAUAGGAGUUUAUGUUUGCUCUUCUAUUCGGGUAGAUCCGGGUGAGGGUGGAAGCUAGUGGAGGGACCCAGGUCGGGUGAAUCUUGCUGUAUUUCUGUACCCCUGUAUUCGUGGACCCGGGUGGGGGAAUCGUCCUGGUUGAGGGAUGGUGAAACGGUUGAGGUGUGUAGAAUUUGAACGGGUUGAGUGUCUCGGAAGUUGCACCGACGCGUCUUUUGAGGAGGGGUAAUAAUAAACGGCUGUAAUAAUUGCUAUACGGCCAAUGGGAGGUUGCCACGUGGUUUAUCAGUAUGGCUAUAAAUAUAGCUUCCCCUCCCACUCCUUUAUUUUUCAUUUUCGCUUUCGUCUUUUUUCUCUCCAUUGUUUCAAAAAUCGCUGUGGGUGCUUCUUGUGGCUUGUACGAGUUCGAGUGUGGUGGUUGCUUCUGCUUCGUUCUCGCGACUUUGAUUUCGGUAAGCGUGCUUCCUCUUUUCAUCCUUUUACCGUUUUUACUCCAAAUAGAUGCCAUGCUUUGAUUUUGCGGGUUUGUACAACUGUUUGCCGUAGCUCUGAUCUUUGGUUUAUCGUGUUUUGACUCGUUGUGCUUUAGUUUGGGGAAGUUUGUGAGUCUUUUGUGGUUUGUGGUUUCGAUUUAAGACAGUUUGAUGUUUGCAUUUUUGGUUUGGGGUUUCGAUCUUUUGAGAAUCUGCAUUUCGGUUUAAGGCUUUUGGUUGAAUGUUCUUGCGUGUGUAUGCGUGUAUAUAUGUGUGUAUAGGAGGGUUUUUGGUUUUGAUUUUUGUUUUUGAUUUGAAGUAAUGAAGGAACUGUUUGUGGCUUUUGAGUUUUCGGGGCCUUGAACUGGACCCGGGUAGGACAGGUAUGCCCGGGUUGGGUAGUUUCAGGAGAUGGUUGUUUUAGGUUUAGGUGUUUGGUAGAUGGUGUAUAUAAUUGCGAAGGGGAGGGUCUCCGACCCGGGUACGUAUAUUAGGUCCGGGUAGGGAUUUUGGGUGUUUUGUUUUGUACUUGGGAAAACGUUUUUGUGCUGUAGUAUGUAUAUAGAACCCGGGUGUCCUUUUAGUAUAUAGUACUCUUCUCCCACGUAAAUUUGAAGAAAGAGAGGGCCCGGGUAGGCUUGUAGGAUAUGGUGUAUGUGUCUUAAUGGUGAGCCCGGGUAGAUGUGUUGAUAUUCUUGCAGCUUCCCGACUUGUGAGGAUUUUUACGCCGCUGUAACAUAUAUCGGAUCCGGUCGUGUUUCUACUAUAUAGUAUUCUCUUCCCGCGUAAUUCUGGAAAAGGAGCGGCCCCGGGUAGGUUUGUAAGAUGUUUGCAGUGUAAGAUGGACCCGGGUAGCUCUUUAUGGUGUGCUUGUUUUUUGUUUUCUCUUUGGUAUGUUCUUCACAUAGGAUUAGGAUGGGAUCCGGACCUAAAUAAAACUUGUCACAAUGUGUGAAUUCUAAAAACUGACCCGGAUUGCUUCUCUGUUUAGGUCCAUGGUCCGGAUCCCUAGGCGGCAAAGACGAGAGAUUGUUGCGUAUUCUGCUGUACCCAGGGAGUUUUCCAAUGACACAGAGUGCGACGAAGUCCAUACUCUUGCUCACCGUGCUCAGGUGAAGAUGGCUGAAAGAGAAGUUUCUUCUACCGGGGUGGUGUCCGCGUUUCAGAAGGUCACCAAGACGAUUGGGAGGCAGGUAAUCAUGUCCCCAGAAGGUGUCUGGUGUGAUUCUAAGUCAUAUUUUAUUACCAAGGCCCCCCUUGUCGAGGAGAAGGGUUUUUACACGAAUAUGGCCGGGUUCUAUAGGCGUAAGCAUCCUGACGGCCCCUUAGCUCCCUAUAACAAGGAAGAGUUCGAUGAGAGGUUUCGAGAAUUUCCUGGGAUCCGGGCUCCGUUCCCGGUGAGGAACCACAUCAAAGAGAUGUCUCCGGAUAUGGCUGACCGGAUGAUUCGGGCAGCUUUUCAACUUCCCCCCGAGGUCGAGUGGAGGUGGCCUGAGCCCGGGGAGAAGAUAUAUCAUCGACCCGGAGACGGUUUCGUUCCGGUAUGGAUGGAACAUCUUCGGUCCGGGUGGAACCCCCGGUGGCACGUUUUUUUCAAACACUUGUGCAAGUACGAGUGGAAGAUUUCUCCAAUGCAGCUGACUCCGAACGCGGUCAAAUGGAUGACCUGGUUCUUGUGGGCGUGUAACAAGAUGAACUAUUAUCCAACGCUGAAGCUGUUCCACGUUUUGUUUCAAUUUAAGAAAUCCGGGGUGAGACCCUUGUACGAGCUUCGCUUCCGCUCGAAGGAGUGUGGCCUGGGAACCGGGCUUGUGAGUCCGGUUAUUCACCAGAGUUCGCUGAAGGGCUGGAACGGUGAAGUUCUCAUGUUGAAAGGGCUGGAUCUGGCCUUUAUGCCGUACAUCGAGACGGAUGAUACGAAAGUUAGGACCGAUUUUGGUGCUCCGGGUGCUGCGGGGGAAUUCCAGGCUCAGCUGGUCGAGUUCUGUACUUGUAUCGGGUUUCAAUUGACCCGGGACACAUUUAUGCAACAUGACAAGCUGCACGAGGGUGGCUGUAAGUUGUGUUCUUUUCUUGUCCCUUGAUUUCGCUUUGAUUUUGCUUUUGUAGUGUCUUGUCCGGGUUCUCCUUUUUAUAGCUUGCAUAUUCCGUUAGAAUAAUUUGUUGUAGCAUGUUGUCCGGGUCUAUUUUCUUUGUCCUGUUUCCUUAGUGAAGUCUUGUUGGAUUUGUAUUUUCGUUAUUUGCCCUUGACCCGGGUUCUCUUCUUUUUGGCAGGUCUCCCAUACUUUGAUCCGGAUCUCUGGGAUAUCAUGUCUGCAAAAGAUUCUUUCGCCGCCGCUCUUCGGAAUUUGGGAGGUGUGCACGUGGCCCCGAAACCUCAGCCGAAGAAGAAAUCGGGGAAGAAGGGGGACUCGAAGAAAGGGGAGUCCGGGUCCUCCCGCCAGGGAACGGAGGGUACCGGGCAUUCCAGUGCUACUCCGGGUGUUACUCCGGAUCCGGACCUACAAAUAGAGAAUCCGGAGUUGGUCGCUGAGGCUGAAGAGGUGGAGAGCCCGGAUCAAGGGCCAAAGAGGAAGAGGAAGAAGACUGAUGCUGGUUCUUCCCAGAGGCAAGUGAUUGAUAUGACGGUGGAGGAUCCGGGCAAGUCGGCUAUGGAGGUGGUGGAUCUUGGGGUUGAAACUGAGGGCGGUUCCCGACCGACCCCUAAAUUCGGCAAGUACCCGGUUAAGAAAGUGCUCGGGCUGAUGUCCGAACUCCCCUCUGACCAAGACUGGGAGAUGAUGGAGGACGAGGGUCUUGCCUCGAAUUUUAAAGAAAUCGGAAACUUGUGGGGUCAGGUAUCUUACAAUCCGACUCCUUUCUCUCUCUUUUUUUUUGUACUUUGCUUUCCUUCUCUGUUUUCGUAAUUUUCGGUUUUAUUGAUCCCGGUAUCCUGCUUCUUUUUUAGCUUGGUGGUCGUCUGGCCGGGUUCAAUACCCAUGCAUUGAACAGUUUGAAGAAGGAGAGGGAUCUUUCCGUGAAGAGCCUCGCUCGGGUCACAAAGUUGGAGAAGGAUCUUGACGUGGAGAGGUCAGCCCGGGAGGCUUUGGAGUCCGGGGUGGCUUCCAAGAUCAAAGAGGCUGAGAUCCGGAAAGAGGCUGAGUUGGAUCAGAAGAUUAAGGAUGCUGGGACCCGCGCUGACAGUGCUGAGAAGAGAGUAGCCGGCCUGGAGAAGGAAGUGUCUGAUCUGAAGAAGCUGUUGGAAAGUAGGAAAGAGCCGGAGGAGGUUAUUGCUGAGUUCAAAGAAUCUACAGCCUUUGGGGACGCCCUGGCUAAUGCUGCUGCAGCGGAAGUCGUCUGUUGUUGGAACGUGGCAGAGAAGCACAUCAAAACUGAUCCGGGGGCUAACCUUCAGAGUUUCAUCGAAAUCUUCCUGGCAGCUAAGGAUAAGAUUAAGGCCGGGAAGGGGGAACCGGAGCCGUAUGAUGGUCCGUCCCCUAGCUUUCUUCCUCCCGCCAACCCGGGUAAUGACUCCGAUCCGGAUUCUUCCUCCGCGGAUUCCGAGCCUGCUGAUGGGACUCCUGCUGACGAGACCCGGGAUAACGAGACUCCUGCUGCCUGAUCUCCUUCUCUUUCCAGUUUGUUCAUAUUUGAUUUAAGAACAAUGUUUUUGUAAGACUAAGUACGUUUGAUCUGGAUGUUUGAUAUGGUCUGGAUGGACCCGGUUGCAGUAUUUUUAAAUACUGCUUAUGAAUGAAUGCUUUUAUUUGUUCGAGAUAUUUCUUAUUCGGAUGUUUUGCAUAUGUAGCUUUAUACUUUAGAAAUUUUUCUAAGUAACAGUGCACAGGUGGAUCCGGGUAUAUUUUACCCGGGGUUGAUUGCUUAUGCAAUUUCGUACUUAGAAAUUUUCUAAGUAAAAUGAACAGGUGGGUCCGGGCAACCUUCGCCCAGGUUGAUUGCUUUCGUUUGCUUUUAUACUUAGAAUUUUUCUAAGUUGAAUAAAAUAGAUGGACCCGGGCAACGUUUACCCGGGUUGAUUGUUUGAACAAUUUUGUACUUAGAAGUUUUUCUAAGUAAAUGAACAGGUGGAUCCGGGCGACCUUCGCCCGGGUUGAUUGCUUUCGUUUGCUUUUAUACUUAGAAUUUUUCUAAGUUGAAUAAAAUAGAUGGACCUGGGCAACGUUUACCUGGGUUGAUUGCUUGAACAAUUUUGUACUUAGAAGUUUUUCUAAGUAAAUGAACAGGUGGAUCCGGGCGACCUUCGCCCGGGUUGAUUGCUUUCGUUUGCUUUUAUACUUAGAAUUUUUCUAAGUUGAAUAAAAUAGAUGGACCCGGGCAACGUUUACCUGGGUUGAUUGCUUGAACAAUUUUGUACUUAGAAGUUUUUCUAAGUAAAUGAACAGGUGGAUCCGGGCGACUUCGCCCGGGUUGAUUGCUUUCGUUUGCUUUUAUACUUAGAAUUUUUCUAAGUUGAAUAAGAUAGAUGGAUCCGGGCAACCUUCACCCGGGUUGAUUGUCUUAUUUGGCUUUUACACUUGGAAAUUUUUCCAAGUGAAAUGACUGAAUUGAUGGAUCCGGGUAGUUGUGACCCGGAUUGUUUGCUUUACUUGCGUGGGCUGCCUUAGAAGUUUUCUCAAAUAGAUAAUAACAUAGAUUCUUCAAAGGCAAAAGAUUUUAUUGAUAUUAAAUCGGUUACACAGCUCUAAAGAUGAUCAAAAAUACAUGAUUGCUUUUAGGUAUGUAUAGCUGUCUUCUAGGAUUUUUCCUUCUUGUUGGUCUUACUGAUAGAACUUCCUUAGCCUGAGUCCAUGCCAGGUGUUGGAUACUUCUGAUCCGUCCAUAUGCUCUAGUUUGUAGGUACCCGGUCUUAGAACUUCUCUGACCUUAUAGGGUCCUUCCCACUUCGGCAUCAGCUUGCCAGUGUUGGUUGGAUCUGAGGCCUCGGUGUCUCGUAGGACCAGGUCUCCCGCUUGAAAGUUUCUAACCCGGGACUUUUUGCUGAAGUGAUCCCGGGUCUUCUCUUUGUAUUUUUCCAUCCUUGCGACCGCCUGAUCUCGAACUUCAUCUACUAGGUCCAAGUUGACCCGGAGUCAUUCCUCGUUUGCAAUUUCGUCGAAGUUGAUCACUCUGUGGGAGGGUGACCCGACUUCGAUUGGGAGCAUUGCCUCUGUUCCAUAGGCCAAUUUGAAGGGAGUUUCUCCGGUGCUUGUUCGAGGGCUAGUUCGGUAUGACCAGAGGACAUGAGGUAGUUCUUCUAGCCACUUGCUUUUGCUUUCCUCCAGCCUCUUCUCAAUUCCUCUCAGGAGGAUUCGGUUGGUAACUUCUACUUGACCAUUUCCUUGAGGAUAGGCGACUGAGGACUUUUUAUGCUUGAUGCCUCUGUCAGGCAGGUAUUUUUCGAAAUCCGACCCUAUGAACUGGGGUCCAUUGUCUGAGACCAGGACUCUUGGUAAUCCGAAUCUCAUCAGAAUGUUAUCCAUGAACCGGAUGACAUCUUGCUGAUUGAUUGUCCGCAUUGCUUUAGCCUCGACCCACUUGGUCAUGUAAUCGAUGGAGACAAGAAGGUACCUGAGGUCUCCUUUGGCCCGGGGAAAGGGUCUCAUGAUGUCUAUUCCCCAAACAGCAAAAGGGAUUGGAGAUAGGACUGAGGAGGGUAGGACAGGGCUCACCCGGGGUACGUUGCUGAAUAGUUGGCAGUUCUUGCAUUUUUUCACAAACUCCAUGGCGUCCUGGUGGAUAGUUGGCCAAUAGUAGCCUUGCCGGAUGAUUUUAUAUGCUAGGCCUUUUGCCGACAUGUGAUCUCCACAUAUCCCUUCGUGAACUUCUCUUAGACAAUAUUCGGCCUCCUCCGGACCUAUGCAUUUCAGGAUUGGGGCUGAAUAGGUCCGGCGGAAGAGUGUUCCUUCUUCGACAAAAAAUUUGGCCGCAUUAGCCUUCAGCCGUUGUGCUUUCCCCUUGUCUUCGGGUAACUCUCCCUUCUCUAUGUAGUUGAUCAGGGGAGUCAUCCAGGUAGGGUCGUUGUUGAUCUCGAAAAUUUCCUCAUGUUCUAUUGUUGGCUUGUGCAAUUCUUCGAAAUAGACUGAGCUAUCCAGGUCCGCUGAAUUUUGGACUAACCUUGAGAGGAUUUCCGAUUCGGCAUUUUCUUCCCUGCUGACUUGCAAGAUCUUGCACCCGGGGAUCAGAGUGAGGUAGCUUUUUACCAGGGCUUGAUACUUGGUCAAGAUCGGGUCUUUGGCAAGGUAUUCUCCAUUGGUCUGCCUGACCACGAUCUGGGAAUCACUGUAGAUGGUGAGAUUUCGGAUAGACAGGGUCCGGACUAAUUUCAACCCUGCUAGAAGAGCUUCGUAUUCCGCUUGGUUGUUGGUUGCUGCGAAACCGAAGGAGAUUGAUGUUUUGAUGGUGAACCCAUCCGGGCUUUUCAGGAUUAGCACGGCUCCUGACCUUUCGGUUGUUGAGGAGCCGUCAACAUGGAGUAUCCAAGACCCCGGAUUAGGUUCUACCGGGGCUUCGGGUUCAGUUUCCAUGGGGGUUGCCUGGUUUUCUGGGAAGUUGCAUUCCACCACGAAGUCUGUCAGGACCUGGGCUUUGACUGCUGUCCGGGGUAGGAAUGUUAGGCUGAACUGGCUAAGUUCGAUUGCCCAGUUUACCAGCCUCCCGGAGAUGUCUGGCUUGUGGAUGAUUUUCCUCAAAGGUUGGUCUGUGACAAUCCUGAUUUCUCUUCGUUGAAAGUAGUGUCUGAGUUUCCUGGAUGCGGUGAUCAGUGCAAAUGCAAAUUUUUCUAAGUUGGGAUAUCUGGUUUCCGCAUCCUUCAAGACUUGGCUAACAUAAUAGACGGGUUUCUGUUGUCCGGCUUCUUCCCUGAUCAACGUCGCCCCGACAGCAAGGGGUCCGGCUGACAGGUAUAGGUAUAGAGGUUCUCCGGGUAAGGCCUUUGUCAGGAUCGGAGGCUUGGACAGAUAUGCUUUGAUUUCUUCAAGGGCUUUUUGGCAAUCCGGGCUCCACUCUACUGACUUCUGAUUUUUCGCCCCUUUUAACAAUUCAAAGAAUGGUAGACAUCUUUCAGCAAGUUUCGAGACAAACCUUCGAAGUGCUGCCAAGGACCCUGCUAGCUUCUGAACUUCCCUUUGAGUCCGGGGUGGUUGCAUUUCUUGAACUGCUUUGAUCUUCUCUGGGUUGGCCUCGAUACCCCGGUUGCUUACCAUAAACCCCAGAAAUUUUCCAGCCUCUACUCCGAAGGUGCAUUUGUCCGGGUUGAGUUUUAGUUUAGUCCUUCUCAUGUUCUCAAAACAUUCUUUGAGAUCUGCUAUGUGACCCGGGACUGAUGUUGACUUGGAGAUGAUGUCGUCGACAUAGCAUUCUAAGUUCCUUCCAAGUUGGUCUUUGAAAAUUUCGUUCAUUGCCUUCUGGUAUGUAGACCCGGCGUUCCUUAACCCGAAAGGCAUUAGUUUGUAGGCAUAUACCGCCCGAUGGGUUAUGAAGGCUGUUUUCGCUAUGUCUGCUGGGUUCAUCUUAACCUGAUUGUACCCGGAGAAAGCAUCCAUAAAGCUUAACAUCAGGUGUCCUGACGUGGCAUCAAUAAGCUGAUCAAUGCUGGGUAGAGGAUAAGGGUCUUUGGGGCAUGCAGCGUUCAAAUCUGUGUAAUCGACGCACAUCCUCCACUUGCCGUUUGCUUUUUUAACCAUGACUACAUUUGCAAGCCACUCCGGGUAUUUAAUUUCACAUAUGAUAUCCGUCUUCAUCAACUUGCCAACUUCCUCGUCUAUCGCCUGUUGCCUCUCCGGGGCGAAAUUUCUUCGCCUUUGUUUGAUCGGCUUUUUCUUAGGAUCUACAUCCAAGCUGUGCAUUGCUAGAGACUCAUCCAACCCGGGCAUGUCGUCCGGACUCCAGGCAAAGAUAUCUGCAUAGUUCCGGAGUAGUUGGACGAGUUCUUCUUUGAAAACGGUAUCCAGGCCUUUCCCGAUUUUGAUUUUUCUCUUCGGGUUGUCUUUCUCGAUCAGGAUAGACUCGGUUUCGACCGCAGCUNUGAUGUUGACUUGGAGAUGAUGUCGUCGACAUAGCAUUCUAAGUUCCUUCCAAGUUGGUCUUUGAAAAUUUCGUUCAUUGCCUUCUGGUAUGUAGACCCGGCGUUCCUUAACCCGAAAGGCAUUAGUUUGUAGGCAUAUACCGCCCGAUGGGUUAUGAAGGCUGUUUUCGCUAUGUCUGCUGGGUUCAUCUUAACCUGAUUGUACCCGGAGAAAGCAUCCAUAAAGCUUAACAUCAGGUGUCCUGACGUGGCAUCAAUAAGCUGAUCAAUGCUGGGUAGAGGAUAAGGGUCUUUGGGGCAUGCAGCGUUCAAAUCUGUGUAAUCGACGCACAUCCUCCACUUGCCGUUUGCUUUUUUAACCAUGACUACAUUUGCAAGCCACUCCGGGUAUUUAAUUUCACAUAUGAUAUCCGUCUUCAUCAACUUGCCAACUUCCUCGUCUAUCGCCUGUUGCCUCUCCGGGGCGAAAUUUCUUCGCCUUUGUUUGAUCGGCUUUUUCUUAGGAUCUACAUCCAAGCUGUGCAUUGCUAGAGACUCAUCCAACCCGGGCAUGUCGUCCGGACUCCAGGCAAAGAUAUCUGCAUAGUUCCGGAGUAGUUGGACGAGUUCUUCUUUGAAAACGGUAUCCAGGCCUUUCCCGAUUUUGAUUUUUCUCUUCGGGUUGUCUUUCUCGAUCAGGAUAGACUCGGUUUCGACCGCAGCUUCGACCUUGGUUAAUUCUUGUGCCGAGAUCAUUUGUUGGAUCCGGGCAUCAGUGUUCUUCUCAACGAAAUUUUGAGCUGGGCUCAUGGUUGCUUUUUGGUAGCUUUGUCCAGGACCAGGAUUGGGUGUUCCCGGGUUCUGACUGCCCGGGUCUAGGUUGAUGACCUGGACUUCACCCUUAGGGUUUGUUCUUGGGUAGGGUCGAUGUUUUUUGUUACUUCUCUGUUUUUGGAAGACGGUAGCCUUCCUCUUGUUGUCCAUGUGGGGUUCUGCCAUAACCAAGGCUUGGCUGUAACACACCCCGGCUGUUUCCGAAUCUCCUUUGACUUCGCCUGCCCCGAAUGGAGUUGGGAAUUUGAAUUUCAGGUGCGUGACAUAAGUGAUGGCUUCGAUUUUGUUUAGACUCGGACGGCCAAUGAUCACAUUGUAAGAGGAAGGAGUGUCUGUAACAUAGAAUUUGAUCAUAUGGACGACCUGGGUUGGGGCUGUUCCAAAACGAACCGGGAGGUAAAGGGUUCCUAGGACCGGGACAAUGCUGUUCCCGAAUCCGUAUAAGGGGUCCUCCCUGUAGUCGUUCAUCCGGAUGUUCCCUAGUUGCAUUCGGUCCAUGGUAUGCUUGAACAAGAUGUUUGCUGAAGAGCCGUUGUCGACUAGGAUCCGUCUGACCUCAUUCUCGGCUAUAUCCAAGGUUACCACCAGGGCCUGAUUGUGACCCCGGGUGACUCCCUCAAAGUCCUUGCUGCUGAAGGAAAUGAUUUGUUCGGGGAAGGUCUGUAUGGACAUUACUUCUUGACAUGAGUCCGGGCUGGGAGGAGGGGAACAGGAUCCUCCCAAGACUACAUUGACUAUGUUCUUUUGUUUUCCCGAACCUUCUCCCUUGUUUGCUGUGUUCCGGGCUAUGUAUUGUCCCAUGUUGCCUUUGCUGAUUUGCUCUUCAAUGAAAUACUUGAGGGAUAUGCAGUUUUUCGUUUUGUGACCGUGGGUGCCAUGAUAGUCACAAUGUCGGUUGGCGGGUCUGCUCUCUGGAGGAGUCUGCAUGGGUUUUGGAGGGUAGUAGAAAGGUUUGUCUCUGAUUUCUUUGAGUAUAUCCUCGCGGGAUCUGUUCAAUGGAGUCCAAUCAGGUUCUGGUUUUGGCUCCCUGGUUGCUUUGUUUGGACCGGGGUCACUUCUAGACCCGGAUCCUGGCUGGCUGGUCCUCUUAGAACCUGAAUGCUGGAUGAAGUUGGUUUGUCUAUCUGGCUUGAAUUUCUUGUCCUGGUGAUAUUCUUCUCUAGGUCUGUCCUCGACCUGUUUCCCUUUUGAGCUACCCUGCCGGGUCAUUCUCAUGGCUUGGAGUACGUCGGUUUCCUUAAUGAAUUUCGCGGCCAUGGCAGAGGCAGCUGCCAGGCUCUGAGGGUCUUUGUUGAUCAACUCGACCACAUAUCUUUCAUUUUGUUCCGGGUCCAGGUUUCUUCGGAAUAUGCUCAGAGCCUCACGCUCAUCCAGGUUGGAAAUUUUGUUGAUUGCUUCCUGGAAACGUUUCAUGUAGUCUGAAAGUGCCUCGUUGUCAUAUUGACGAACCGUUUCCAGGUGACACAUAUGAAGUUCAUGUGUCUUGUUUGCUCGAAACCUUCUGAGGAAGGCUUCCCUGAAGUCUUUCCAGGACCCGAUGCUCCGGGAGGGGAUCCGGCUGAACCAUCUCUGGGCCCCUCCCUUGAAUGUGGAUGCGAAGAAGCGGCAUUUGGUCAGAUCAUUGUAGUAGUAGAUCUGGGCUAUCUGUUCAAAAUAGUGCAGGUGUUCCUCCGGGUCACCCAGUCCAUUGAAGGAUUCGAACUUGUAGUGUUUCAUGCCCUUUUGCUGAGGAAUAGAUUCUAAGGAGUGGCUGAACGGAGUUAGGGUUCCUCCAAUUUCGAGCCCGGAAUCAUUCCCAAUUUUCCUGUUAAGCUCAUUGAUCAUAUCUCUGAGGUUGGUUUGUCCCGGUCUCUCAUCCUCGUCAUCAGAGAUGAGUUCGGGUGUUGUUUCUUUCCGGUAUCGCUUGGACCGGGAUCCUUUUGUCAACUUCUCCUCUUCGAGUUGAAUCCAGAGGGCGAUUUUUUGCUCAAGUUUUUCCUCUUCCUCUUUUCGGAUCUGUUCUUUCCUUUCAGCCAAGAUUUUCAGCCGGGUUUCCUCACUUUCUUUUUGUUUCUUUUUCUUUGCUUUGUCUCCGAUCCGGUCGAAGACGGAACCCCGGGAUUGACGACUGUUCCCAGAGUCCUCGGACUCGCCGAUGUCCUCAAGUCUGCGGUUGCUUUCCCGGCGAUCGUGGUACUGCCGGAUGGCCUCGGCCAACUCUACAUUGGUGAGCUGGGACAGGUGGAGGGUGGUGACCGGGACAUCGGUGUACUUGUACUGGUUCGCUUCGAUCGUGACCCGUGCAUCAUUGGGUUGCUUGGUUCUCGUCCGGGUUCACAUGGGUGAAAAGGGGUCCUGAGGCAUGAUCCUGGUUCGGGUUGUCCUGGUCUGUCUGAGGGUUAUCCGGGUUCUGGGGAAGACCCAAGUGGGAGCGUGUCCUUUUUGUCAUGGUUCCAAGAACUCACACAGGGUAUAUGGUUGCUGUUUUGGUGGUAGUGCCCACAAAUAGUAUAGAUAAUGAAAGGAUGACAGAAAUAGUGUGUACAGGUAGUCAACUUACUAUUUUCAGAAGUAUCACAAAUAGUUAAGUGACAAAAUGUGUGCAGGUGUGAGACAAAAAGAUUUUAUGUGCUACAGACAAGAUUAGGGUUUUGCUCAGACAGGGUUUGCUAACAUGCUCUACUACAGACAAAUUUAGGGUUUUGUUCAGGUAAGGUUUUCUAUCAUGCACAUAUCAAGAAAAGCCAUGGCUGAGGGUUUUGAGAAGCUGGGUGUUUUGUGAGAGCUUACAGGUGUGAUUUCGGACCCCCUUUUCGGGAGCUUGUUGAAGAAGAUGAGUCCAGUGGCACCGUGACCACAGGACAGAGAACACCUUCCCCUCCUUCUAGCGCCAAAUGAUAACUCCAGAUCCCGUUCCGGUGGCUCCUCCGCCGUGCACUGGUGUCUUGCGAUGUAGCUGCUGGAUGGGUGUCUGCAAAACAACACCGGAGGGGGGUUUGGGCCCCGCGGCGCCUCCGGCGUGAGAAUGAGUGCAGGUAUCGGAAUAGAUGAACAGGAAAUAGGCUAUCUAUGUGUGGUGGGUGAAGGUGUAUGUGUGGUGGUUGCUGGUGGCUGGUGGCUGAGAGUGUUUGAAUAUAUGCUGAGUGUAAGUGUGUGUGAGAAUGAGUGUAAAAAGAGAGUUACCCUUGAACUCCUGAUCUUGGUCCUAUUUAUAGGCCAAGGAUUAGGGUUCAAGGGUGCGUACCUGGAUCCUGGUCCUACACGUGUAGGGGUUUGAUCCCCUACACGUGUCCAGGUGUCAGCGUAGGAGUAGUAUUUUGGAAUGUUCCUUGGCUUGUCUCUAUCGCCAGUAGUUGACCGUUAUGUUUGUCUUUAUCGUGUCAGUCUGCGCCUUGUGCAGCAAGUGUCGGCUGAUACCUAUGUGAACCCUGGUCGAGGAGGGUGCUCGGGUAAUGCCCGGGUUCGGGAUCCUACCCGGGUGGUGUAUCCGGGUUAGGGUUGAUAGGUUGUGCUUUCCGGGGACCAUGGUCCUCAUGUGGGCCCGAGUUUGGACAACCCGGGUAACUCCACAUCAGCGUGCUUUUCAACAUAUACUCUACAACCCAUUAGACCUGUAAAAUUUACGCCAGGCACAGUGAUCAUUUUGUAUUUGAACAGGGGAGAAAACAUGGGAACCACGAGAACCGACAUUAAAUCAAUCAAACCAAUAUAACACAAGAUGUGGACACUCAGGAACCUUAUGCACUUAUUAUCGCUACCUGCAGAUCAUGACAGUCAUAAUACAUAGAUAUGAUACUGUCAAACAAACAGAGUAAGGUAAAAAUAUUAGUUAAGACAAGGCAUACACUAGUCUAGUUGAUACUACAUUAUUUGGCUUCUCAGAGACAUUUUGUCAAACAGGUUAGGACAGUGAUCGCUCAAACAAUACUUGACAGUAAUCUUCACAAACCAAUUUACAUGUGUGAGCGGGUGUGGGAUAGAACGGAGCGACAGGGGAUAGAGAAAGAGAUCGAGGAAACAAACUCACGUUCUAACUUCUUGUCUACCAUUGAUCAUUGUCUACCAUUGAUCGAAACUACGGAAUCCUUGACACAAUCUAUUAUCAAGCAACCAAUACUCAUGUAGCACAUCAUCUCUUCACAUCAAUCCCACAUUACCAUGCAAUGGAGGCCAACAGAGCAAUCAAACCGAUACUCGGAGAGUACUACCGGUAUGAUGGCACAAUAUUUUACAAAUCGCUGUGGAGUGCUAUAAAAGACUGUGUCUAUGUCGAGGAAGACGAAAGGAAAGGGAUUUAUUGGUAUAACAACAAGCUCUGAAUUCUGAUCUAGUUGCUCCAUAUCAUAAGAAAGAUAGCUCUGUGUUUUUCAGAUGUUGAUGAAUAAGCAUAUGCAUAUAUGUAAGUUUCAUCCUUUGUGAUAAAAUGCACAUAUUUGUAUGUUUGUAGACUCUACAUUUCAAUUUGCUUCUGUACUGCGCCACCUAUAUGUAAACUUCUGCACAAAUUUCUUGUACUUAGAGUUACUGAUAUAUGAAUUACCA
Molecule: long non-coding RNA, 16093 nt
Filed under: Daucus carota (carrot)
Lineage: Eukaryota; Viridiplantae; Streptophyta; Magnoliopsida; Apiales; Apiaceae
Description: long non-coding RNA (DCAR_LNC000056)
Source: RNAcentral